Felis catus (domestic cat) is the source of this 1829-nucleotide long non-coding RNA. RefSeq lists it as uncharacterized. The record is from RefSeq and is a predicted model, not a curated record. The transcript is spliced from 3 exons. Lineage: Eukaryota; Metazoa; Chordata; Mammalia; Carnivora; Felidae.
CCCCUUUAAUACUUUUUUUGAAACUUGCAUUUUUGUCAACCUGAUUUCCAUUUCCUGUUUUAGAGCCUGUGGAAGAACAGCUUAAGGCCACUCAGCGAUUGGUUGUUCCUAUCCAUUCAGCGGCCUGAGCAGAGGGAGCUGCAAACCAGACCUCAGUGGUUGGCUAAGUGCGCCAGUCCACAGUAAGGAACGACUGAAUAGGGACAGAGGACACUUGCACAACUCAGGACCAGGCUCUUCCCUCAGGUUGAGUAGCAGUGAGCUCAGCAGCUAAAGCAGCCCACCCACCUUCAAAUUCCUCCUUGUUACAGCCUUUUCAGCAGCGGCCCCUCUUCCUUUCCAAUCUUCUGGAGGCAGGAUCUCCACGGAAGGAGAGAUGAGGUGUGGCCUCCUGCAGGAGUUCACAGGGUGGCGGCGCCACGCAUGCUCAGAACUUCCCUAGGCCUGUAUUUACCACCUCAGACCCGCUGAGUGAGCUCCCUUAUUGUGGCACGGGAUGGCAAUGCCCACAUAGCACAGAGGAGAGUCUGUGCUACCCAGAAUGAUGGUGGGCAGGUUAACGUAAGACAUCUCCGUGAGAGGCUGGUGGUCGGCCCUGGAAUCGGUAAGCACCAGAAGACGCAACUCCAGGAGGGCUGCGCAGAUACGGUGCACGAAGCUUCCGGGGAGCAAAGCAGCCAACAACAGGAGUGGCUCCAGCAGCAGCAGCAAACGUCAGCCCAGCUCCGUGGCCCGUGUUCCUGGAGGAUAUGAUACUGACACCAGCUGGGUUUUCAGUAGCGACAAUGGCAGGAGCUGCCGGCAGAAGCUUCUCCCAAGUCUCUUCAGAUUAAUAAGUUUUUACACUGGCGGUGUCUAAUUUUUUAUAAUUAUAGAAGGAUUUGAAGUCAGUUGCACAAAUAUCAGACUGAAGAUGCCUGGCUUGAAAGCGGUUACUGCUGAUGCCUAAGGACAGUCUCAGUUUGUGGAGAAUCCUGUGCUUUCCAACCUUGACCUCACUUCGUUCUUACAGUAAACUUUGAUUCAUGUCCGCCUUGCAACAAAUGUAUGAAGGUCAAAAGAAAAUAUAAGAUGGAUUUUUCUGCCCCAUCUGGCAGCUUCAGUUCAGCAGAAAUGAGAGCUAAACACAGCUGUGAAGACAGAAGGCUGAGGAGCAGCGUUCUGUUAACACUUGGGACAACUCUUAGUCAUUGUUCACAAUGACUCCCGCGAAUGGGACAGUGAAAGUCCUGUGGCCUUUAGCAUGGAAACAGCAUCACCAGCUGUCAAGGAUUUCUGAAUUUUAAGGGAACAAACAAAAUGAUUCAUGAGGUUGGGCAAAAUGGAAAAAUAUUAAUUUUCUUUGGGCUGGACAGAGAGAGAGGAAAGGGUUAAGCAUGAGUCGGAGAUUUCCAAAGCUAAGGGUGCCUUAAUUCCUAUAUAACAUUUUCUUUCUUUCUGUUAAUUAUCAUAUUUAGCAAAGUUUUCUCUGUUUCUUAAUUUUACUAAAUAUGGCAUUUAGAAUGGCCCUUUUGGUGUUCCAUGAUUUAAAACUUCUAAGUUGUUAGGAGAUAUUUUUGUCUUUCUUAUUUAACAUUAUGAAAAUGAUUGUUUUGAAGGUAUGAGAAAAAAAUGUUACAGAAAGGUGGUCCCUACACCUCACUUCACUCCUACUUGGAUUGACUGCUUUCUUUUUCCCUUCCUCCCCCCCUUCUUUCUUUCAUUCUUUCCUUUCUCUCUUCCUUCUUUCUGUCCUCUUAUCCAAAAAUGUACAAAGCAUGCAAGACAUAUGUCAAUGACAUAUGUCAAUAUUUUAUUAAUAAAUAUUUCAACAACUGAUGUAUAAAUCA